GACUCGGUGGCGGAAGGCCCGUACACCCGCCAUAUUAUAGUAUUGUGAAGAAGAAAUGUUAGGGUAUGCUGCCUGUUCGAUUCAGGCCCGAGUCA
Non-coding RNA from Mycena capillaripes, 95 nucleotides. The record is from the annotation of a GenBank genome assembly. NCBI's taxonomy places the organism in Eukaryota, Fungi, Basidiomycota, Agaricomycetes, Agaricales, Mycenaceae.